Molecule: ribosomal RNA, 392 nt
Filed under: uncultured bacterium
Lineage: Bacteria
Description: partial 16S ribosomal RNA
Rfam family: Bacterial small subunit ribosomal RNA
Source: RNAcentral
CCUACGAGUGGCUGCAGUGAGGAAUAUUGGUCAAUGGUCGGGAGACUGAACCAGCCAAGCCGCGUGAGGGAGGAAGGUACAGAGUAUCGUAAACCUCUUUUGUCAGGGAACAAAGGCGGGGACGUGUCCCCGGAUGAGUGUACCUGAAGAAAAAGCAUCGGCUAACUCCGUGCCAGCAGCCGCGGUAAUACGGAGGAUGCGAGCGUUAACCGGAUUUAUUGGGUUUAAAGGGUGCGUAGGGGGUCUGUUAAGUCAGCGGGCAAAGCUCGGGGGGCAACCCUGGCCCGCCGUUUGAACUGGGCAGUCGUGAGUAGGAGAGAGGUAUGCGGAAUGCGCGGUGUAGCGGUGAAAUGCAUAGAUAUCGCGAAGAACUCCGAUUGCGAAGGCAGCAU